This 250-nucleotide ribosomal RNA is filed under the name uncultured Prevotella sp. Its description in RNAcentral is "partial 16S ribosomal RNA". It matches the Rfam family "Bacterial small subunit ribosomal RNA", at positions 524 to 773 of the family's 1533-position model. Lineage: Bacteria; Pseudomonadati; Bacteroidota; Bacteroidia; Bacteroidales; Prevotellaceae. The record is from RNAcentral.
UACGGAAGGUCCAGGCGUUAUCCGGAUUUAUUGGGUUUAAAGGGAGCGUAGGCUGUUGGUUAAGCGUGUUGUGAAAUGUAGAUGCUCAACAUCUGAAUUGCAGCGCGAACUGUCCGACUUGAGUGCGCGGAAAGCAGGCGGAAUUCGUUGUGUAGCGGUGAAAUGCUUAGAUAUGACGAAGAACUCCGAUUGCGAAGGCAGCUUGCUGUAGCGUAACUGACGCUGAAGCUCGAAAGUGCGGGUAUCGAAC